Molecule: long non-coding RNA, 3964 nt
Filed under: Limulus polyphemus (Atlantic horseshoe crab)
Lineage: Eukaryota; Metazoa; Arthropoda; Merostomata; Xiphosura; Limulidae
Description: uncharacterized LOC111087371, transcript variant X1
Source: RNAcentral
AAUAAAUAAAAUAAUGUACAAGUUUCAACAGAUAUAAUGAUAUGCUGUAAAGAUAAAACAUUCACUAACAAAAUGGUGAUGACCUUUGAACAGGUGUUCUUUACCAGGAAUGGAAAGACAAUAGGGAAGAAAGAAGUGUGUAUACCUAAAGGAGGAUUCUACCCCACUAUAGGAAUGUUGAGUAGUGAAGAGAAGGUGAAAGUGGAUCUCCAUCCCCUUACAGGGUGACAGAAGUGUACUUUAGAAACUGGUAUCUCUUCAACUUAGAAAAAAGAAAUGAAUUACAGAAACACGGCACUUGGCUGGUCACACUUUGCAUUUAAACUUGAUGAAAUUCCAAGAAAUGUGACGAAACUUUAGAUGCCACCACAAGCACUGUGUCUGUCCAUCAUCACACUUCAUGCAUGCAAAGUGGCCAGGCAGUGAUGUUAUUUUCCUUCAGCCAAUCACAGAACAGUUUAUAAUGUAAUAGCGUUGGUAUGAACUGUGUGUUACUAUUAAGAGAAAUUACAACAAGACCUAAGUAUCAGAACAAUAUUUUUAUUCAAUGUGAUGUUUUUCACAUUAUAAAAACAAAUAUUUGCAUAUUUUGUGGCAAAGUAUUAAUUUUAAUUGUGUGUAUUACAUAUUUGUUUUGAAAUUAUUAAACAAGCUAUCCAAGUGAAAAAUAAAAAUAAGGAUUUGAUUCGUGUAUAUUUUUUGUUUGUACUUAAUAUCCUUAUAAAUUUGGAAGUUAAAGCAAAACUUAGAAAAACUGGACACUAUAAAUAGAAAAAUUAGUAACAAAUUUAAAAUGUGUACAAAAAUAUACAUAUAUAUAUAUAUAUAUGGAAUUCUUAUUUUGGAUUACUCCUAGUUUGUAGUUUUGUCAGUUUUUGGCUUGCAUAUUUAAUUAGUCACAGUUUUACCAUUGUCAGUAAGAACAUUGAAGGGAUUAUGCAUGAAAGGCUUUCUUUGAUCUAAUGUACACAAGUUUUCAGUCUGAUAAAGGAUUUGGCAGGAAAAAUGACUUGGCAACAGAAAUCCAUAGGAAGCCUUGCAAGAAAACAUUAUUAUGGUAUUGAAUAUUUCUGAGUUAAAUGCUAUGAAGGAACUUGAAAUUUAUGUGAUCUUUGGGUCUUUUUUUUUUAAUUCAUUAAUGUUAUAUGAUAUAUUUUUGAAAUAGUACUUGUAGUUUUGUUAUGUAAUAUGUUUGCAUGGAUACAAAAUUCUAUUAAAUUGUGAUUAAGUCUUAAAAAUUAAGACAUAAUGAAAUGGAAUUAAGGUUUCAUAUAUCUCUAUAAAAGAAACUUAGUUGUAUAGUUUCUAUUUGGGUUGUGCUUAGGUCACAAAGGCAAGGUUUGAAAAUGUGGAAGCAUGAAGUAAACAUUUUAAAUAGUAGCAAUAAAAAAUCAUUCUUAGAUUUUGUUGUAAGAAGAAAAUGUUUGAGAAUUUUAAGUUUUAUAUUUUUCUACAGUUAAUGAUUUCAUGCUUCACUGUUUUAUUGGAUUUUUUUACCCAUAAUUCUUGCUCUUCUGGUUCAGGAUUAUAAUGUUGUAAUAUAUAUAUAUAGAUACCUUAAAAUUGUAUGAUAUUCAAGCAAGUUACUGUUUCUCUCCUGAGAUGUUGAACAUUUCUAUCACAUUUUAAAUCAUCCAUAAAAAAAUACUGGUCCAAGAAACAGUUUCAUAUGAAUCACACAUAAAAGUAAUGUCAGCCACUAACCCUAAAUAUGUAAACUCUAAACUGAUUGAUGAAAUGUGGGAAAGGACCUUUUAUGAUAGAAACUUAGUUCUGAUGGAAGGUAAAUUAUUAUAUGCUUUAAAAAGAGCUUGAGUUUACACAUAUCAAGAUGUGAUAUGUAUGAAGGAACUGAUUAAUUUGUUCGCAUGAUUAAACUUCGUAAGUUCAGAAUGUCUUCCUAAAAUUUGAAUGUUUCCCAAAAGAACACAGUUUAAUAUCCUGUUUCAAGUAUGAAUGUCAGAAAAUAGCAUCCACCUUUUAUAUUUGUUGGACAUAAAACUAUUUUAGUUUCUAAGAGUAUACUCUUAGAAACUAAAAUUAGCUUGCUUAUACUUGUCCUGAGUAAAUAAAAAACUUAGCUUAUUCUUCCUAUUUUGAAUGUUAGACUUCUUGUUAUGUGUAUUACUGGUUACUUUCAAUCGUUAGACUUCUUGUUGUGUGAGUGUGUAUUAUUGGUUACUUUCAAUCGUUAGACUUCUUGUUGUGUGAGUGUGUAUUAUUGGUUGCUUUCAAUUGUUAGAUGUUGUGUGUGUGUGUGUAUAUUAUUGGUUACUUUCACUCGUUAGACUUCUUGGUGUGUGUGUGUAUUAUUGGUUACUUUCACUCGUUAGACUUCUUGGUGUGUGUAUUACUGGUUACUUUCAAUCAUUAGACUUCUUGUUGUGUGAGUGUGUAUUAUUGGUUACUUUCACUCAUUAGACUUCUUGGUGUGUUAGUGUGUAUUAUUGGUUACCUUCACUCAUUAGACUUCUUGGUGUGUUAGUGUGUAUUAUUGGUUACUUUCAUUCGUUAAACUUCUUGGUGUGUGAAUGUGUAUUAUUGGUUACUUUCAUUACCUUGUAGAUAUGGUUUUGUAAUAUGAAUGUUUCCAACCAGAUGUUCCUAAUUAACAUUACUUGUGGCUGUUAAUUAAUGUUUUAUUUUUAAUGAGGUUUUGUGAAUCAAACUACCAAAAAUUACUAUGUCAAAAUUUUGAACUCGUGUUUUACCAUAAAUCUAAAAGUAUUAUUAUUGUAAAUUACAUACUUAUGAAAGCUUGUGGCACUUACCUAUACCUCCAUACCUAGUCAUUUUGACAGAGAGAAUGACAGUUGAAUAUCAAAAUUGGAGAAAUGGUUUUGAUUUCCUUUUUUUGUGUGUGACAACAAAACUAAACAAGAAAGAUAUUCGAGAAGUUGUCGUAAUUUUUUGACAUAAAUUACUAUUCUGUAUCAUUUCUUUAGCUUACAAGUAUUGUUAAAGUAUAUCACUGGUGGGAAGAUUUACUUGUAUAAACAGACGUACAUGUAUCUAUGCAUGAAAAUUGCUUUUAGUGAAAUUGUAUUUUGCAUGUUGUAUUGCAAACUGAUUGCCCUGUAAGCUGCACCAGUUCAGUCAUUCAAUCAUUUCACAUGUUACUUUCAUAUCCCUGUGUUUAGAAAUCAGUUGUUAUUUUUGGUGUUAAAGAGUAGUGAUAAUUAGUGUUGUCUGCACUGGUGAAAAGAUUUUGUUGAAAUUCCACAAUGUGAAGUGAUAGCUUCAGAAUAAAGAUUUUAAACUUAGAUAAAAGUAAAUAAAAACUUUGGGAAACAUUUUAUAAUAGAUUAAGAUGAGUUUUGUAUAUUAAUGUUUCCAAAGGUUGCUCUUUUCUACUCUUCAGUUACACACACUACCAGUGUUUAUAAUGUUUUUACAACAGUGGUUAUCUGUGAGCAGUAAGCAGUUUCCAAUGUGUGUGUGUGUGUAUGCUAGUAAAUUACAAGAAGUGUAAUGGAUGUUUUAAAAUAUGCAAGCACUAACCAUUAAUGAUCUGAAAUAUGACAAUAAAUAUAAACCUUUUUAUUUAAUUCUAGAUAAACAAUUAACCACUGUUGUAGCACCAGAUACGGAUAGUGUGUAAUCCUAUGAAGAUUGAAUUUUUUUGAGAUGCUGUUUCCCCUUCCUUACAAAAAUUAGAAUUUGUUUCUCAAAAAGGGUUUGGAAUAUUAAUCUCCAUUGCAUAGCUAUGGUAGGUCUAAAUCCUACAAAGUACUUAUGGACAAGGAUGUAGUUGUGUAUUUAGUUAUAUACAUAUGUGAGGUCUUAUUGUUAGAUAUGCUUUACACUUUUAUCAAUCUAUGUACAUCAAAAAACUGAAAAUUUAAAGCUGAUAAUGAAAUAGUUGAUGAAUUAAAUAAAAUAUAAACAGAAAAGGAGAACUUUUUGUAUUUGUGGAUAAAGAUCAAGAGGGUUAUUAAAUAAAGAUUUUAUAUAUGUUGUGUUA